RNAcentral lists this ribosomal RNA (428 nucleotides) under Bacteroidota bacterium. Its description in RNAcentral is "Bacteroidetes bacterium partial 16S ribosomal RNA". It matches the Rfam family "Bacterial small subunit ribosomal RNA", at positions 355 to 776 of the family's 1533-position model. Lineage: Bacteria; Pseudomonadati; Bacteroidota. The record is from RNAcentral.
UAGGGAAUCUUCCGCAAUGGACGCAAGUCUGACGGAGCAACGCCGCGUGAGUGAAGAAGGAUUUCGGUUCGUAAAACUCUGUCGUUAGAGAAGAACAGCGCAUAGAGUAACUGUUAUGCGUGUGACGGUAUCUAACCAGAAAGCCACGGCUAACUACGUGCCAGCAGCCGCGGUAAUACGUAGGUCCCGAGCGUUGUCCGGAUUUAUUGGGCGUAAAGCGAGCGCAGGCGGUUAGAAAAGUCUGAAGUGAAAGGCAGUGGCUCAACCAUUGUAGGCGUUGGAGACUGUUUGACUUGAGUGCAGAAGGGGAGAGUGGAAGUCCAUGUGUAGCGGUGAAGUGCGUAGGUAUAUGGAGGAACACCGGUGGCGAAGGCGGCUCUCUGGUCUGUAACUGACGCUGAGGCUCGAAAGCGUGGGGAGCGAACAGG